This 429-nucleotide ribosomal RNA is filed under the name Chloroflexota bacterium. Its description in RNAcentral is "Chloroflexi bacterium partial 16S ribosomal RNA". It matches the Rfam family "Bacterial small subunit ribosomal RNA", at positions 355 to 776 of the family's 1533-position model. The record is from RNAcentral. Lineage: Bacteria; Bacillati; Chloroflexota.
UGGGGAAUAUUGCACAAUGGGCGCAAGCCUGAUGCAGCCAUGCCGCGUGUGUGAAGAAGGCCUUCGGGUUGUGAAGCACUUUCAGCGGGGAGGAAGGCGAUAAGGUUAAUAACCUUGUCGAUUGACGUUACCCGCAGAAGAAGCACCGGCUAACUCCGUGCCAGCAGCCGCGGUAAUACGGAGGGUGCAAGCGUUAAUCGGAAUUACUGGGCGUAAAGCGCACGCAGGCGGUCUGUCAAGUCGGAUGUGAAAUCCCCGGGCUCAACCUGGGAACUGCAUUCGAAACUGGCAGGCUAGAGUCUUGUAGAGGGGGGUAGAAUUCCAGGUGUAGCGGUGAAAUGCGUAGAGAUCUGGAGGAAUACCGGUGGCGAAGGCGGCCCCCUGGACAAAGACUGACGCUCAGGUGCGAAAGCGUGGGGAGCAAACAGG